This is a non-coding RNA of Vicia faba (fava bean), 240 nucleotides long. The record is from the annotation of a GenBank genome assembly. Lineage: Eukaryota; Viridiplantae; Streptophyta; Magnoliopsida; Fabales; Fabaceae.
AUGCUCAUUAUCACUAAAUUCCAUUUUCACAAACUCAACUCUCAUCAUCAAAAUUUCAAACCAAAGACCUGUAAAAUUCAGUCCAGCACCACGUUACACAAACACAACCACCACGCGGCAUCGAUGAAAUCAAUCACAAUCAAAUUUAAUAGAACAUAUCAUAGGAAUAUUAAAUUAUUGGUGUUGUUGUUUUUUUCUUUAACCUUCAUUGUAGGAAAGAAGAAGAGGAAUCCGAGAUGA